RNAcentral lists this ribosomal RNA (709 nucleotides) under uncultured bacterium. RNAcentral describes it as "bacterial SSU rRNA". It matches the Rfam family "Bacterial small subunit ribosomal RNA", at positions 59 to 764 of the family's 1533-position model. The record is from RNAcentral.
CAGUCGACGGCAGCGCGGGGCAACCUGGCGGCGAGUGGCGAACGGGUGAGUAAUAUAUCGGAACGUGCCCUGGAGUGGGGGAUAACGCAGCGAAAGUUGCGCUAAUACCGCAUACGAUCUAAGGAUGAAAGCGGGGGAUUCGCAAGAACCUCGUGCUCCUGGAGCGGCCGAUAUCUGAUUAGCUAGUUGGUGGGGUAAAGGCCUACCAAGGCAUCGAUCAGUAGCUGGUCUGAGAGGACGACCAGCCACACUGGAACUGAGACACGGUCCAGACUCCUACGGGAGGCAGCAGUGGGGAAUUUUGGACAAUGGGCGAAAGCCUGAUCCAGCAAUGCCGCGUGAGUGAAGAAGGCCUUCGGGUUGUAAAGCUCUUUUGUCAGGGAAGAAACGGUGCGGGCUAAUAUCCUGCACUAAUGACGGUACCUGAAGAAUAAGCACCGGCUAACUACGUGCCAGCAGCCGCGGUAAUACGUAGGGUGCAAGCGUUAAUCGGAAUUACUGGGCGUAAAGCGUGCGCAGGCGGUUUUGUAAGUCUGUCGUGAAAUCCCCGGGCUCAACCUGGGAAUUGCGAUGGAGACUGCAAGGCUAGAAUCUGGCAGAGGGGGGUAGAAUUCCACGUGUAGCAGUGAAAUGCGUAGAGAUGUGGAGGAACACCGAUGGCGAAGGCAGCCCCCUGGGUCAAGAUUGACGCUCAUGCACGAAAGCGUGG